UGUAGUCUUUUUUCAGUGAAUGUUUUUUCCAAUUUUAGCUUAUUUCUCUUUCAUACAUUAACUGGUUUUGAUGCCCCCUUUUCCUUUAAUAGUAUGACCUUUGUAUAGUGGACCACAAAUUCUAAAAUUACUUUUUAUUCAUUUCUCCACUUACAAAGGUUAGUAUACCAUCAGCCUGUCGGAUUUGCCCCAUUCACUGUGUCAAAGCCAUUGUCAUUUCACAUGAUGCAUUUUUUUUAUAGAUUUCUUCACAAAAGCCUUCCAUGUUUGUAAAUAGACACGUGCAAUUCGUUUCUGUCCAAAUUAAAAUUCCGACGAAUUUCGGCAAUUCCGACUUUCGGAUGCUUCCGAAUGUCUGAAUUGCUGAAGUGCCGAAUUUCGGAAGUGUCGAUCCAAAACAAACUGCCAAAGUCCC
Non-coding RNA from Pelobates cultripes (western spadefoot toad), 415 nucleotides. The record is from the annotation of a GenBank genome assembly. Lineage: Eukaryota; Metazoa; Chordata; Amphibia; Anura; Pelobatidae.